Molecule: ribosomal RNA, 484 nt
Filed under: uncultured bacterium
Lineage: Bacteria
Description: partial 16S ribosomal RNA
Rfam family: Bacterial small subunit ribosomal RNA
Source: RNAcentral
AUUGAACGCUGGCGGAAUGCUUUACACAUGCAAGUCGAGCGGCAGCGCGGCCUUCGGGCUGGCGGCGAGCGGCGAACGGGUGAGUAAUGCAUCGGAACAUGCCCAGUCGCGGGGGAUAACACUUCGAAAGAAGUGCUAAUACCGCAUACGUCCUGAGGGGGAAAGCGGGGGAUCGCAAGACCUCGCGCGAUUGGAGUGGCCGAUGUCCGAUUAGCUAGUUGGUGGGGUAAAGGCCUACCAAGGCGACGAUCGGUAGCUGGUCUGAGAGGAUGAUCAGCCACACUGGAACUGAGACACGGCCCAGACUCCUACGGGAGGCAGCAGUGGGGAAUUUUGGACAAUGGGGGCAAGCCUGAUCCAGCCAAGCCGCGUGAGUGAAGAAGGCCUUCGGGUUGUAAAGCUCUUUUGGCAGGAACGAAACGGUGGGCUCUAACAUAGUCCGCUAAUGACGGUACCUGAAGAAGAAGCACCGGCUAACUACGUG